This 414-nucleotide ribosomal RNA is filed under the name uncultured bacterium. RNAcentral's name for it is "bacterial SSU rRNA". It matches the Rfam family "Bacterial small subunit ribosomal RNA", at positions 28 to 438 of the family's 1533-position model. The record is from RNAcentral.
GAUGAACGCUAGCGGCAGGCUUAACACAUGCAAGUCGAGGGGUAGAGGAAGCUUGCUUCCUUGAGACCGGCGCACGGGUGCGUAACGCGUAUGCAAUCUACCUUAUACAGGGGAUAGCCCAGAGAAAUUUGGAUUAAUACCCCAUAGUAUAAUUGAAUGGCAUCAUUUAAUUAUUAAAAGUUCCAACGGUAUAAGAUGAGCAUGCGUCCCAUUAAGCUAGUUGGUGUGGUAACGGCACACCAAGGCGACGAUGGGUAGGGGUCCUGAGACGGGAGAUCCCCCACACUGGUACUGAGACACGGACCAGACUCCUACGGGAGGCAGCUAGUGAGGAAUAUUGGUCAAUGGGCGCAAGCCUGAACCAGCCAUGCCGCGUGCAGGAUGACGGUCCUAAUGGAUUGUAAACUGCUUUGU